This 1788-nucleotide long non-coding RNA is filed under the name Felis catus (domestic cat). RNAcentral's name for it is "lncRNA (ENSFCAG00000052245.1)". Lineage: Eukaryota; Metazoa; Chordata; Mammalia; Carnivora; Felidae. The record is from RNAcentral.
CUUAACUCUGGUAGCAGCCCCUGGGUAGCACCAUCCCUCUUUGUCCUGAGAAUCAGGACUAGUUCUACAAAUAAUAUUAAAAAUAAAUAAAGAGAUGACUAAUUAUAUAACAUGAUUUGAGGGUCAUCAUAAGACCUGUGCCACCCCAAAUAUAUUCACAGUCAGAUUGUCCUCUGUAGCCAAAAAUUUGCCUACUAAACUCAUCCUCUGAAUCCGCUGAAUAGAGGCAUUGUUUCCACAGAGUCAUCGUUAGACUGUGCUUGUGUUGUCUAGUUGCUAAUUAAUAUGCUUUUACACUUUGUGUCCUGUGAAUAGACCAUUUUCAGCCUAACGUUUGUAACGUAACACCAUAACUACAAUCAAGUUCUGCCUCUCCUAGGAGAAAUAGCAUGACUCUGCUGCCUGACUUCUGAGCAUCUCUGCCUGAACAUCUGAACACCCUGGUUGCUACCAGAUCAAGUCAUUUUGUCAUGUCCAUUAGGCCUGGUUUGCGCUGUUACUGUGGCCAGUGUGAAAGCAAAGGUCUCAGCUUCCCGCAACUCUGAUCUCAAUCCUUCUGAUUUCCUUUAAUUUUUUACUGUGAUGGAUGCUGGAGAGAGUAUAGCAAAUCCCUUAAGAGCCUGGACUGUGACACCUGCAGUGUGUUCCUUCAUCUCUGGCCUUCCAUGUACAAGGUUGUUUGCAGCAUUUACGGACCUUUGGGAUUCCUGACUUACUGAUGGUGGAUUUACGGUAUAAUCCAAUGGUUACCCCAGUACAGGAUGCGGAAAAAAACUCACCCUAACACAGAACAUGUUCUCAUUAUGGUGGAAGCAACAGGCAUAGGCUGCUGAGAACCCAUAUGAAAAAUGCAUGAUGGGAUAGAUCUUGCUGGUUAAACUGGGGCAGAAGUCAGACUUCUUUCUGGAUUAUGCCCCGCUCACUCCUUUGGAAAAAAAAUAUUAUAUUAUGGAGAGAGACACAAGACUCAUACUGGGAGAUUCUAAUGAAGCUUUGUAAUACGAGGAGUUUUUGGAACUUCUGAAAGCCUUGGUCAAACACGUGUGCCUUUAAGUUGAGUUGCAGACCUCUCUAUCCUUGCCCUGGUUUCAUUGAUAUUAUAACAUCAAAAAAAUAUUCUGAAAUAUCUGUCAUCCAGAUUAAUUUCUGUGUUCUCUAUAUCCUUGCUGCUCAACAUGUGGUUUCUGAACCGGCAUUGUUGUAAUCUCUCACACAUUUGUUAGAAAGGUAGACUCUCAAACUUUACUGUAGACUUACUGUAUCAGAAAUUGCAUUCUCAAAUGAUCUCCUAGUCAUUGGAUACACAUUUGGCAAACAAUGAUCUAUAUUACCACAGCAUUCCAAGGGGCCAUAGGUACUCAGUAGGGAGUUGGUUCUGACAUUCAGUCAUAAUGAGGUGGGUGAGAAACUUCAUUAGCCAAUGAAAAAGAAUGGUUAAGUCAGAAGACCCUGAAAGGUUUUUCUUGUCCAUCUCUUAAGGCAAAUGCAAGCCAGAAGCAAGGAACAGCCUUGGGGAGGAAGAGGGCUUCAUAUUCCAAUGAAGACACAUUUGGAGUGAUCUUAAAUGAGAACCAAAUUCAUCAGCUUUAAUGAAAGUCUGAGAAAGUGAUGGAAUUUUAAGAUUAGUACAAAGUAGGUGAACACUGUUUAAGAUUUUCCAUCUGGGUCUAGGGAAGAAUCUGAGGUAAUAGCCAUUUAUGUGCCACACUGCCUAAGAAUUCUUUGCUUUUGUGCAUGAACACUGUUUGCAGAAAUAAACCAUUUUCCUUUUUUUUUUUUUUUGGUGUG